GUGCCAGCAGCCGCGGUAAUUCCAGUUUCCAAUAGCGUAUAUUAAAGUUGUUGUGGUUAAGGAAGCUCGUAGUUGAACCUUGGGCCUGGCUGGCCGGUCCGCCUCACCGCGUGCACUGGUCCGGCCGGGCCUUUCCCUCUGUGGAACCCCAUACCCUUCACUGGGCGUGGCGGGGAAACAGGACAUUUACUUUGAAAAAAUUAGAGUGCUCCAGGCAGGCCUAUGCUCUAAUACAUUAGCAUGGAAUAAUAAAAUAGGACGCGCGGUUCUAUUUUGUUGGUUUAUAGGACCGCCGGAAUGAUUAAGAGGGACAGUCGGGGGCAUCAGUAUUCAAGUGUCAGAGGUGAAAUUCUUGGAUCAGAUGAAGACGAACUACUGCGAAAGCUUUUGCCGAAGGGAGUUUUCAUUAAUCAGGAACGUAAGUUAGGGGAUCGAAGAAGAGCAGAUACCGUCGAAUCUUAACCACAAAGAUAUGGCAGAA
This 481-nucleotide ribosomal RNA is filed under the name uncultured fungus. RNAcentral describes it as "SSU rRNA". It matches the Rfam family "Eukaryotic small subunit ribosomal RNA", at positions 564 to 1047 of the family's 1831-position model. Lineage: Eukaryota; Fungi. The record is from RNAcentral.